CGGGGAGGUAGUGACGAAAAAUAACAAUACAGGACUCUUUCUAGGCCCUGUAAUUGGAAUGAGUGCACUUUAAAUCUUUUAAUGAGGAUCAAUUGGAGGGCAAGUCUGGUGCCAGCAGCCGUGGUAAUUCCAGCUCCAAUAGCGUUUACUUUGAAAAAAUUAGAGUGUUCAAAGCAGGCCCAAGCCGCCUGGAUACUGCAGCUUGGAAUAAUGGAAUAGGACCACAGUUCUAUUUUGUUGGUUUUCGGAACUGAGGCCAUGAUUAAGAGGGACGGCCGGGGGCAUUCAUAUUGCACCGCUAGAGGUGAAAUUCUUGGACUGGCAGUUUAGACCAGAGCGAAAGCAUUUGCCAAGAAUGUUUUCAUUAAUCAAGAACGAAAGUCGGAGUAUGGUUGCAAAGCUGAAACUUAAAGGAAUUGACAGAAGGGCACCACCAGGAGUGGAGCCUGCAGCUUAAUUUGACUCAACAUGGGAAAACUCACCCAGCCUGGACACGGACAGGAUUGACAGAUUGAUAGCUCUUUCUCGAUUCCACGGGUGGUGG
This 544-nucleotide long non-coding RNA is filed under the name Homo sapiens (human). Its description in RNAcentral is "HSALNT0040006". It matches the Rfam family "Eukaryotic small subunit ribosomal RNA", at positions 457 to 1280 of the family's 1831-position model. The record is from RNAcentral. Lineage: Eukaryota; Metazoa; Chordata; Mammalia; Primates; Hominidae.